GCCUGAGUGGCUCAGUCGGUUGAGCAUCUGCCUUCAGCUCAGGUCGUGAUCCCAAGGUCGUGGGAUCGAGUCCCAUGUGGGGCU
Molecule: transfer RNA, 84 nt
Filed under: Canis lupus familiaris (dog)
Lineage: Eukaryota; Metazoa; Chordata; Mammalia; Carnivora; Canidae
Also listed under: 1 other name
Rfam family: tRNA
About the family: Transfer RNA (tRNA) molecules are approximately 80 nucleotides in length.
Source: Rfam by way of RNAcentral